UGGGGAAUUUUGGACAAUGGGCGCAAGCCUGAUCCAGCCAUGCCGCGUGUCUGAAGAAGGCCUUCGGGUUGUAAAGGACUUUUGUCAGGGAAGAAAAGGGCGGGGUUAAUACCCCUGUCUGAUGACGGUACAUGAAGAAUAAGCACCGGCUAACUACGUGCCAGCAGCCGCGGUAAUACGUAGGGUGCGAGCGUUAAUCGGAAUUACUGGGCGUAAAGCGGGCGCAGACGGUUACUUAAGCAGGAUGUGAAAUCCCCGGGCUCAACCUGGGAACUGCGUUCUGAACUGGGUGACUAGAGUGUGUCAGAGGGAGGUAGAAUUCCACGUGUAGCAGUGAAAUGCGUAGAGAUGUGGAGGAAUACCGAUGGCGAAGGCAGCCUCCUAGGAUAACACUGACGUUCAUGCCCGAAAGCGUGGGUAGCAAACA
Molecule: ribosomal RNA, 427 nt
Filed under: uncultured bacterium
Lineage: Bacteria
Description: partial 16S ribosomal RNA
Rfam family: Bacterial small subunit ribosomal RNA
Source: RNAcentral